Molecule: ribosomal RNA, 528 nt
Filed under: uncultured Glomeromycotina
Lineage: Eukaryota; Fungi; Glomeromycota
Description: SSU rRNA
Rfam family: Eukaryotic small subunit ribosomal RNA
Source: RNAcentral
AGCAGCCGCGGUAAUUCCAGCUCCAUAGCGUAUAUCAAAGUUGUUGCAGUUAAGAAGCUCGUAGUUGAAUUUCGGGAUUGACGUGAUGGUCGUGCCUUACGGGGUAUGAACUGUUGCUGUUGAUUUCUCACCUUCUGGAGAAACUUGAUGUCCUUAAUUGGGUGUCUUGCGGAUCCAGGACCUUUACCUUGAAAAAAUUAGAGUGUUUAAAGCAGGCAUUUUUGCUCGAAUACAUUAGCAUGGAAUAAUAGAAUAGGACGGCAUGGUUCUAUUUUGUUGGUUUCUAGGAUCACCGUAAUGAUUAAUAGGGAUAGUUGGGGGCAUUAGUAUUCAAUUGUCAGAGGUGAAAUUCUUGGAUUUAUUGAAGACUAACUACUGCGAAAGCAUUUGCCAAGGAUGUUUUCAUUAAUCAAGAACGAAAGUUAGGGGAUCGAAGACCAUCACAUACCGUCCUACUCUUAACCAUAAACUAUGCCCACCAGGAAUCAGACGAUGUUAAUUUUUUAAUGACUCGUUUGGCACCUUACG